GUCGAGCGCACCCUUCGGGGCGAGCGGCGGACGGGUUAGUAACGCGUGGGAACAUGCCCUUUUCUAUGGAAUAGCCUUUGGAAACGAAGAGUAAUACCAUAUACGCCCUUCGGGGGAAAGAUUUAUCGGAGAAGGAUUGGCCCGCGUAAGAUUAGAUAGUUGGUGGGGUAAUGGCCUACCAAGUCUACGAUCUUUAGCUGGUUUUAGAGGAUGAUCAGCAACACUGGGACUGAGACACGGCCCAGACUCCUACGGGAGGCAGCAGUGGGGAAUCUUAGACAAUGGGCGCAAGCCUGAUCUAGCCAUGCCGCGUGUGUGAUGAAGGCCUUAGGGUCGUAAAGCACUUUCGCCAGAGAUGAUAAUGACAGUAUCUGGUAAAGAAACCCCGGCUAACUCCGUGCCAGCAGCCGCGGUAAUACGGAGGGGGUUAGCGUUGUUCGGAAUUACUGGGCGUAAAGCGCGCGUAGGCGGAUUGGAAAGUUGGGGGUGAAAUCCCAGGGCUCAACCCUGGAACUGCCUCCAAAACUAUCAAUCUAGAGUUCGAGAGAGGUGAGUGGAAUUCCAAGUGUAGAGGUGAAAUUCGUAGAUAUUUGGAGGAACACCAGUGGCGAAGGCGG
Molecule: ribosomal RNA, 617 nt
Filed under: uncultured bacterium
Lineage: Bacteria
Description: bacterial SSU rRNA
Rfam family: Bacterial small subunit ribosomal RNA
Source: RNAcentral